This 78-nucleotide transfer RNA is filed under the name Nitrospirae bacterium GWC1_57_7. RNAcentral's name for it is "tRNA-Glu". It matches the Rfam family "tRNA". From Rfam's summary of the family: Transfer RNA (tRNA) molecules are approximately 80 nucleotides in length. The record is from RNAcentral. RNAcentral also lists the same sequence under 4 other names. Lineage: Bacteria; Pseudomonadati; Nitrospirota.
GUCCCCAUCGUCUAGUCUGGCCCAGGACACCGCCCUUUCACGGCGAUAACGGGGGUUCAAAUCCCCCUGGGGACGCCA